CCCUUAGAUGUCCUGGGCUGCACGCGCGCUACACUGAAGGAAUCAGCGUGGCUUUCUCCCUGACCCGAAAGGGUUGGGAAACCCGUUGAAUCUCCUUCGUGAUAGGGAUUGGGGCUUGAAAUUGUUCCCCAUGAACGAGGAAUUCCCAGUAAGCGCGAGUCAUAAGCUCGCGUUGAUUACGUCCCUGCCCUUUGUACACACCGCCCGUCGCUACUACCGAUUGAACGGUUUAGUGAGGGCCUCGGAUUGGUCUCGGCCCGCUCUUUACCGGGCGGCGCCGUUGGUCGAGAAGACGCUCGAACUUGAUCGUUUAGAGGAAGUAAAAGUCGUAACA
RNAcentral lists this ribosomal RNA (334 nucleotides) under uncultured eukaryote. RNAcentral describes it as "partial 18S ribosomal RNA". It matches the Rfam family "Eukaryotic small subunit ribosomal RNA", at positions 1470 to 1796 of the family's 1831-position model. The record is from RNAcentral.